Molecule: ribosomal RNA, 642 nt
Filed under: uncultured bacterium
Lineage: Bacteria
Description: bacterial SSU rRNA
Rfam family: Bacterial small subunit ribosomal RNA
Source: RNAcentral
CGAGGGGCAGCGGGGUUGUAGCAAUACAACUGCCGGCGACCGGCGCACGGGUGAGUAACACGUAUGUAACCUGCCCUCUGCAGGGGGAUAAGCGGAAGAAAUUCCGUCUAAUACCGCAUAAUACAAUUUGGAGACAUCUCCGGGUUGUCAAAGGAGUGAUCCGGCAGAGGAUGGACAUGCGGCGCAUUAGCUAGUCGGCGGGGUAACGGCCCACCGAGGCUACGAUGCGUAGGGGUUCUGAGAGGAAGGUCCCCCACACUGGUACUGAGACACGGACCAGACUCCUACGGGAGGCAGCAGUGAGGAAUAUUGGUCAAUGGGCGGAAGCCUGAACCAGCCAAGUCGCGUGAGGGAAGACGGUCCUAUGGAUUGUAAACCUCUUUUGCAGGGGAGCAAGGCGCGGUACGUGUACCGCGAAGGAGAGUACCCUGAGAAAAAGCAUCGGCUAACUCCGUGCCAGCAGCCGCGGUAAUACGGAGGAUGCGAGCGUUAUCCGGAUUUAUUGGGUUUAAAGGGUGCGCAGGCGGACUGUUAAGUCAGCGGUAAAAUGUCGGUGCUCAACACCGGCCGGCCGUUGAAACUGGCAGCCUUGAGUGAGCGAGAAGUAUGCGGAAUGCGUGGUGUAGCGGUGAAAUGCAUAGA